Molecule: ribosomal RNA, 853 nt
Filed under: uncultured Actinomycetes bacterium
Lineage: Bacteria; Bacillati; Actinomycetota; Actinomycetes
Description: bacterial SSU rRNA
Rfam family: Bacterial small subunit ribosomal RNA
Source: RNAcentral
CCCGGCGCGGCUAACAUGCAGUGGAGCGACGAACAGGCUUCGGCCUGGGGCCAAGCCGCGAACGGGUGAGUAACACGUGGGCAACCUGCCCCGAAGACCGGGACAACCCGAGGAAACUCGGGCUAAUACCGGAUGUGCUCGUCCCACACAAGUGGGACGCGUAAAGGAAGCUUCGGCCUCCGCUUCGGGAGGGGCCCGCGGCCCAUUAGCUUGUUGGUGAGGUAACGGCUCACCAAGGCCGCGAUGGGUAGCUGGUCUGAGAGGACGAUCAGCCACACUGGGACUGAGACACGGCCCAGACUCCUACGGGAGGCGGCAGUGGGGAAUCUUGCGCAAUGCGCGAAAGCGUGACGCAGCAACGCCGCGUGGGGGAAGAAGGCCUUCGGGUUGUAAACCCCUUUCAGUUGGGACGAAGCCUCGUCCGUUAACAGCGGUGCGAGGUGACGGUACCUUCACAAGAAGCCCCGGCUAACUACGUGCCAGCAGCCGCGGUAAUACGUAGGGGGCAAGCGUUGUCCGGAAUCAUUGGGCGUAAAGAGCGCGUAGGCGGCCCGGUAAGUCCGCUGUAAAAGUCAAGGGCUCAACCCUUGAAAGCCGGUGGAUACUGUCGGGCUAGAGUCCGGAAGAGGCGAGUGGAAUUCCUGGUGUAGCGGUGAAAUGCGCAGAUAUCAGGAGGAACACCGAUGGCGAAGGCAGCUCGCUGGGACGGUACUGACGCUGAGGCGCGAAAGCGUGGGGAGCGAACAGGAUUAGAUACCCUGGUAGUCCACGCCGUANACGAUGGGCACUAGGUGUGGGAGGUGUCGACUCCUCCCGUGCCGCAGCUAACGCACUAAGUGCCCCGCCUGGGGAG